UACGCUGGCGGCACGCCUAACACAUGCAAGUCGAACGAAGUAGCAAUACUUAGUGGCAGACGGGUGAGUAACAUGUAGGUAUCUGCCCUUUGGCCUGGAAUAACACGAGGAAACUUGUGCUAAUACCGGAUAAGUCUUUACGGAGAAAGCUUUAUGCACCAUUGGAUGAGCCUGCACUUGAUUAGUUUGUUGGUGGGGUAAUGGCCUACCAAGACUGUGAUCAAUAGCUGAUUUGAGAGGAUGAUCAGCCACAUUGGGACUGAGACACGGCCCAAACUCCUACGGGAGGCAGCAGUGGGGAAUCUUGCACAAUGGAGGAAACUCUGAUGCAGCGAUGCCGCGUGAGUGAAGAAGGCCCUUGGGUUGUAAAGCUCUUUCGUCGGGGAAGAAAAUGACUGUACCCGAAUAAGAAGGUCCGG
This 419-nucleotide ribosomal RNA is filed under the name uncultured bacterium. RNAcentral's name for it is "bacterial SSU rRNA". It matches the Rfam family "Bacterial small subunit ribosomal RNA", at positions 33 to 496 of the family's 1533-position model. The record is from RNAcentral.